This is a non-coding RNA of Xenopus laevis (African clawed frog), 374 nucleotides long. The record is from Rfam. NCBI's taxonomy places the organism in Eukaryota, Metazoa, Chordata, Amphibia, Anura, Pipidae.
CGGAUUAGUAGGAAGAGCGGCGGCAUGGGAGAUGUUUGAGUGUAUUUGGUGUGUGCGUGAGUUGCGUGGGUGUAGAGGCCGGCGUGUGAUUGCGUGCUGUGUGUCUGUACAUGCCGGCGUGUGCGAGUUGUGCGCUGCUUCUCCUGCCUUUCUAUUACACACUGAUCUUAUUUGAUCUCCCUGAGGAUGGCGGCCUGUCCCAGGGCUGAAAUGAUAGGAAACUGCUCGCUAAGCCCUACCCGGGCCCUGUGCGCUGAGCUCGGCUCUGCAGGCCGCAAAUCACUGAAAGGAUGAAUUGAUCAGAUAUACUAGGCCGGGCUGAGGGGCUUCCCCAAUAAUCCCGGCCUGUGAGUAUAGAGGCGAUUCUGAUCUGA